RNAcentral lists this ribosomal RNA (243 nucleotides) under uncultured bacterium. RNAcentral describes it as "partial 16S ribosomal RNA". It matches the Rfam family "Bacterial small subunit ribosomal RNA", at positions 15 to 254 of the family's 1533-position model. The record is from RNAcentral.
GAUCCUGGCUCGGAUUGAACGCUGGCGGCAGGCUUAACACAUGCAAGUCGAACGGUAACAUAAAGAAGCUUGCUUCUUUGAUGACGAGUGGCGGACGGGUGAGUAAUGCUUGGGAAUCUAGCUUAUGGAGGGGGAUAACUACGGGAAACUGUAGCUAAUACCGCGUAGAAUCGAGAGAUGAAAGUGUGGGACCUUCGGGCCACAUGCCAUAGGAUGAGCCCAAGUGGGAUUAGGUAGUUGGUG